GGGGGAUGUAAUAUCAUGUUAAAAAAAUUUGGGUGCUGAAUCUUGGGUGAUUUGUUCCAGUUCAAAAAGGUCAAAUUUUAUCACGUCUGAAGCUGUCAAUCUGAAUUUUACACUACUCAACACAGAAUUGUCAAUAUUUUGAGUUUGAGCUGGUAGAAGUUUCUAUAAUUUUGAUAUUAUUUGUCUCACUGGUAGUACACUACACUGUAAAAAUCUUUUUGAGAAAGAGCAGGUGCGAUUUUUUAAAUUUGAAUUUAUUGUCUAAAAGAAAUGCACUACGAAAUAACUGUGUUCUUUGGCAAAAUGAAGUGGGUGGUAAACAGGAUUUUCCUUGACCAAAUUGACAUGUAAACAUUAAAAAAUAACAUAGAAAAUAUGAUAAACAAAUCCAUCAAUUCAACAUUACCA
Molecule: long non-coding RNA, 408 nt
Filed under: Mytilus galloprovincialis (Mediterranean mussel)
Lineage: Eukaryota; Metazoa; Mollusca; Bivalvia; Mytilida; Mytilidae
Source: RNAcentral